UCCCUAUGGGGUGCAGCAGGCGCGAAACCUCCACAAUGCGCGAAAGCGUGAUGGGGUUAGCCCGAGUGCUAUCCGAAAAGGAUGGCUUUUCCUUGGUGUAAAAACCCAUGGGAAUAAAGGGGGGGCAAGACUGGUGUCAGCCGCCGCGGUAAUACCAGCUCCCUGAGUGGUAAGGACGAUUAUUUGGCUUAAAGCGUCCGUAGCCGGCUUAGUGAGUCUUUUGUUAAAUCCAAUGAUUUAAUCAUUGAACUGCAAGAGAUACUGCUAUGCUAGAGGACGGGAGAGGUCGACGGUAGUCCAGGGGUAGGGGUGAAAUCCUAUAAUCCUUGGAGGACCACCAGUGGCGAAGGCGGUCGACUAGAACGUGCCUGACGGUGAGGGACGAAAGCUGGGGGAGCGAACCGGAUUAGAUACCCGGGUAGUCCCAGCUGUAAACGAUGCGGGCUAGGUGUAGGGGCAGCUACGAGCUGCUCCUGUGCCGCAGAGAAAUUGUUAAGCCCGCCGUCUGGGGAGUACGAUCGCAAGAUUGAAACUUAAAGGAAUUGGCGGGGGAGCACCACAAGGGGUGAAGGCUGCGGUUUAAUUGGAUUCAACGCCGGAA
Molecule: ribosomal RNA, 601 nt
Filed under: uncultured archaeon
Lineage: Archaea
Description: bacterial SSU rRNA
Rfam family: Archaeal small subunit ribosomal RNA
Source: RNAcentral